AGUGUCCUUCGGGGUCGGGUGAAAUUCCCAACCGGCGGUGUUGUAUAUUUUUAUACUAAGCCCGUGAGCUUCAUAUAGAUUUUUUAUAUGUUGCUGAUCUAGUUAGAAUCUAGAGCCGACAGUAUAGUCUGGAUGGGAGAAGGAUGGA
RNAcentral lists this non-coding RNA (148 nucleotides) under Bacillus sp. (in: firmicutes). Its description in RNAcentral is "Bacillus sp. FMN sequence". It matches the Rfam family "FMN riboswitch aptamer (RFN element)". Rfam says of the family: The RFN element is a highly conserved domain that is found frequently in the 5'-untranslated regions of prokaryotic mRNAs that encode for flavin mononucleotide (FMN) biosynthesis and transport proteins. This element is a metabolite-dependent riboswitch that directly binds FMN in the absence of proteins. Lineage: Bacteria; Bacillati; Bacillota; Bacilli; Caryophanales; Bacillaceae. The record is from RNAcentral.